GACGAACGCUGGCGGCGUGCUUAACACAUGCAAGUCGAACGGUGAAGCGCCUUCCUUUUUGGUGGGUGUGGAUGAGUGGCGAACGGGUGAGUAACACGUGAGUAACCUGCCCCCUUCUUCUGGAUAACCGCAUGAAAGUGUGGCUAAUACGGGAUAUUCUGGGUCUGUCGCAUGAUGGGUCUGGGAAAGAUUUUGUUUCGGUGGGGGAUGGGCUCGCGGUCUAUCAGCUUGUUGGUGGGGUGAUGGCCUACCAAGGCGGUGACGGGUAGCCGGCCUGGGAGGGUGGACGGUCACACUGGGACUGAGACACGGGCCAGACUCCUACGGGAGGCAGCAGUGGGGAAUAUUGCACAAUGGGAGCAAGCCUGAUGCAGCGACGCCGCGUGAGGGAUGGAGGCCGUCGGGUUGUGAACCUCUUUCGCCAGUGAAGCAGGCCUGCCUCGUUUGUGGGUGGGUUGACGGUAGCUGGAUAAGAAGCGCCGGCUAACUACGUG
Molecule: ribosomal RNA, 494 nt
Filed under: uncultured bacterium
Lineage: Bacteria
Description: partial 16S ribosomal RNA
Rfam family: Bacterial small subunit ribosomal RNA
Source: RNAcentral